CGGGGCGUAGCGCAGUCUGGUAGCGCACUUGACUGGGGGUCAAGUGGUCGGAGGUUCAAAUCCUCUCGUCCCGA
Molecule: non-coding RNA, 74 nt
Organism: Priapulus caudatus
Lineage: Eukaryota; Metazoa; Priapulida; Priapulimorpha; Priapulimorphida; Priapulidae
Source: the annotation of a RefSeq genome assembly